GACGAACGCUGGCGGCGUGCUUAACACAUGCAAGUCGAACGAAGAGCGAUGGAAGCUUGCUUCUAUCAAUCUUAGUGGCGAACGGGUGAGUAACGCGUAAUCAACCUGCCCUUCAGAGGGGGACAACAGUUGGAAACGACUGCUAAUACCGCAUACGAUCUAAUCUCGGCAUCGAGGAUAGAUGAAAGGUGGCCUCUACAUGUAAGCUAUCACUGAAGGAGGGGAUUGCGUCUGAUUAGCUAGUUGGAGGGGUAACGGCCCACCAAGGCGAUGAUCAGUAGCCGGUCUGAGAAGAUGAACGGCCACAUUGGGACUGAGACACGGCCCAGACUCCUACGGGAGGCAGCAGUGGGGAAUCUUCCGCAAUGGACGAAAGUCUGACGGAGCAACGCCGCGUGAGUGAUGACGGCCUUCGGGUUGUAAAGCUCUGUUAAUCGGGACGAAAGGCCUUCUUGCGAAUAGUGAGAAGGAUUGACGGUACCGGAAUAGAAAGCCACGGCUAACUACGUG
RNAcentral lists this ribosomal RNA (510 nucleotides) under uncultured bacterium. Its description in RNAcentral is "partial 16S ribosomal RNA". It matches the Rfam family "Bacterial small subunit ribosomal RNA", at positions 28 to 507 of the family's 1533-position model. The record is from RNAcentral.